RNAcentral lists this ribosomal RNA (530 nucleotides) under uncultured bacterium. RNAcentral's name for it is "bacterial SSU rRNA". It matches the Rfam family "Bacterial small subunit ribosomal RNA", at positions 36 to 599 of the family's 1533-position model. The record is from RNAcentral.
CUGGCGGCGCGCCUACACAUGCAAGUCGAACGAGAAAGGGGAGCAAUCCCUGAGUACAGUGGCGUACGGGUGAGUAACGCGUGGGUAAUCUGCCCUUUGGUGGGGAAUAACCCUGGGAAACCGGGGCUAAUACCGCAUAAGUCCGAGAGGAGAAAGCAGCAAUGCGCCGAAGGAGGAGCCCGCGGCCGAUUAGCUAGUUGGUAGGGUAAAAGCCUACCAAGGCAAAGAUCGGUAGCCGGCCUGAGAGGGCACACGGCCACACUGGCACUGAAACACGGGCCAGACUCCUACGGGAGGCAGCAGUGGGGAAUCUUGCACAAUGGGGGAAACCCUGAUGCAGCGACGCCGCGUGAGCGAUGAAGCCCUUCGGGGUGUAAAGCUCUUUCGGCAGGGAAGAUGAUGACGGUACCUGCAGAAGCAGCUGCGGCUAACUACGUGCCAGCAGCCGCGGUAAUACGUAUGCAGCAAGCGUUGUUCGGAGUUACUGGGCGUAAAGGGUGUGUAUGCGGUUUGGUAAGUCUGGUGUGAAA